Pseudoliparis swirei is the source of this 1089-nucleotide long non-coding RNA. RefSeq lists it as uncharacterized. Lineage: Eukaryota; Metazoa; Chordata; Actinopteri; Perciformes; Liparidae. The transcript is spliced from 3 exons. The record is from RefSeq and is a predicted model, not a curated record.
CAACUCUAAGAGAGUUAUUGUUCAAAAUGAGUUGGUGUUAAUACAGGGAGUCAAAUGGCAUAAUCUGCAAACAACUCUACAGUGUUGAUUUUACACUACAGCUAGUGUUACCCAUCCCCCAGAAGGCUGCAUGUUUGAAAGAGGCGGGAGAUUGUUUCACGCAGCCAGACAAACACCUUAAGACUCUUUUCUGUGGACUGGACAUGUUCAGACAUCAUUCCAACUGUGACUAGGAUGAUACGUGUGACAAUAUGCUGGUCAAGGUGAGAUUUGGUUCAAGUCAGAAGUAUGUUAAGGUGGCAGAAACCGAAGCAGGCUAUGAAGACUACAAUACAUUUAUUGAGAGUUGUGCUUCAACCAGAUCUAGCAGAAAUUUCCUUUGAGUCGAAUGUGUCAGACACCGUAUCCUCUGUGCCUUCUGAUUCAUCUGAUGCACCAAUAACUCUUGAGAACGAUGGUGGGAGGAAAAGGACCCACGACGAUAGGGAAUCAGCUUCUACACAUUCAUCCAAACAACUGUGUUCAACAUUGAUGUGGGAAGUACCAAGGAAAGUCCUCGUGUGAAGGAGCUCAGAGCAAGACUGCUGAACACAAGUAUCUGAGGUGACGCACAUCCUUGGAUGCAAAUAUGUUGAUUUGUUGUAUCUGCAAGUUACACCACAGAAGUUCUAUGUUGCUUUGUAAGCAUUUGAGAUUUUACCAUGGUUUAUAUCCAGGAAAGACAUUACGUUUGAAAUGUGGACAGCCGGAAUGUUCUAUAUUAUUUUGCACUUAUUCAGGGUUCAAGAAACACCUUAUUCGUUUGCACCGGGACACUUUCAACAAAUACUGUCACUGACACUUCAGUGCUUAUUGUAUCAAGGAGAGGGAUGAUUCAUUUUAUGUUGUUUCUAUUGAUGAGUUGAUUUAUUAUAGACCCUAUGAUAAACAGUUAUCUAAUGAGAUGGAUGAAAAAAUAUACAUUGUGCCAUGUUGUGUGACCCAUGCUAUUGUUUUGUGUGACCUGUACUAUUGAGGCUGCCAUUUAAGAAAUGUUAUUUUAAUGCUAUGUUUGUGGUGGGCUUGAAAAUACAAUUUUAUUUGAACAAA